This 589-nucleotide ribosomal RNA is filed under the name uncultured archaeon. Its description in RNAcentral is "bacterial SSU rRNA". It matches the Rfam family "Archaeal small subunit ribosomal RNA", at positions 267 to 856 of the family's 1478-position model. The record is from RNAcentral.
GUAGGGGCUCUUGGCGGAGUCGCCCCGAGAUGAAAUCUGAGACACUAUUUCAAGCUCUACGGAGUGCAGCAGUCGCGAAUCUUCUGCAAUGCGCGCAAGCGUGACAGAGCGAACCAAAGUGCUUUCCGCACAGGAAAGCUUUUCUCUGCUGUAAAAAGGCAGAGGAAUAAGGACUGGGCAAGACCGGUGCCAGCCGCCGCGGUAAUCCCGGCAGUCCAAGUCGCAGCCAACAUUAUUGGGUCUAAAACAUCCGUAGCUUGUUCGUUAAGUUCUUUGUGAAAUCCUGUGUCUCAAGCAUGGGGCUUGCGGAGAAUACUGGCGGGCUAGUGAUCGGAAAAUGCAAGGAGUAUGUUCAAGGUAGUGGUAAAAUACGUUAAUCUUGGAUAGACUAACAAUUGGCGAAGGCACCUUGCAAGUACGAAUCUGACAGUGAGGGAUGAAGGCCAGGGGCGCAAAACGGAUUAGAUACCCGUGUAGUCCUGGCAGUAAACACUGCUCACUAAACAUCGGGCCCUCUUCGGGAGGAUUCGGUGCUGAAGCGAAGGCGAAGAGUGAGCUACCUGGGAAGUAUAGUCGCAAGAUCGAAACU